GUGGGUCCCGCCAUCGGACGCCUCGCCGGAGGCGCGGGCUGCGCGCGAUGAAGGAGAGCGCCGAGCUCCGGGCGCCAAGAACGUGGGCCCGCGGGCACCCAGAGGACAGAGGUUCACACGGCAGAUGUCAGACUCUCAGACACAGCGAGGGACUCCCGCAGGCCCCCCUGCACUGCCCUGCUUCACGUGGUGGAAGAAGAAAAGGGAAGUGGGAUUCAGGAGCACAGGGCCACAGCUUGCCUCCUCUCCCUUGGCGUCUUUCCUUCCAGCUGUGGGCCCCCACCUUCCCCUUUUCUUCUCUGUCACUAUAGUGUUUUAGGGUCCAUCCCUGUGUGUUUAUUUUCUUAGAUUUUUUUGGUUGUUACAGAAAACCAGCUCAAAGUGGAUCUUACAAAUGAGGGCAUGUAUUGAUUGGCUCCUGAGACUGCUAAGUGUCAAGCGUCACCUCUUUCACCUGGCUGUGGACCAGCGUGGUGCAAUGCAUGUACAUCCUACUGAUGUUAACACCUGGGCCCUAGGACUGACCUUUGCCCACCUGAACUGGGUCAGGGACCAAUAGAGGCAGGAACCCCUGCUUACCCAAGGAAAGUGAGGGUCUGGGACCAGAAUGACAGAUGGAGGCUGGCAGCAAAAACGGGGCGGGGAUGUCUCCUCACUACCUGGGGAGAAUUUUCAUGCACUUUCUGCUCCCAGGAGACAUAAGACAGGAGAGAGAGGAGAGCCCUUCCAAAAGAGCUCCCAUAGCCCUGGCCCACUUCACCUUCUGGAAGCUCCUGGAGUACUACUGUCCUGGGCUUGCUCCCCCUGUGGCCACCCUGCUCCUCUCCAGGGGUAAAACACAUUCAGUGACCAACUUGGAACCCAGCGUGCCUUCCAGCAUCCUCAGGCCUGGGCUGUACCCUUCAUCUAGCAGCUGGGCAGGAGUCUGGACAGCUGGCACAGAAGCCAGUGGUGAGAAGAGAGCCCAUGGAAACCCUGCAGAGAGUGAGAAUGAGCACAUAUCUCACCUUUCACUUCACAGGCUUGGGGCAGGACUCCCUGGGCAUGGAGGACAAUCAGGGCCUGCCUCUGUCUGUCCUGCACCUCCAGCAUCCAAGGACAUGCACCCACAGUGUGGGUGGCCCAGGUGGAGGUGUUGUGUACCAAGGUAAGAACUCAGGCCUGCGAGUGGUAGGUGGGCUGACAGACUGGGUGUCUCCACCAGCUUGGAGUGGUUAGGAGGCUGUCCUUGCCCCGACCCCUUUUUAAUUUGGGAGGCACUCAAAGGUCUUUACAAACCUCACCUUGUUCCUUUUUCCUGAUUCUGAGAGUGUGUCGGGCAGCUGAGGAAUCUGCUUAUUCUACUAAAGAUUUGGCAGUCAGCAUGGCUAGAAACUUUUGGCCCAUGUGUGGAAUCUCACCCAUCAGCACACCCUGUCCACAAUGAGCAAAAGGAAGCCAUGUCAAAUGUCAAGGUGGAGACGCUUUGCUCUUCCUGUAUCCUCUCAGGAGGAAUAGCCUCAGGAGAGGUGUCUGGGCCCACAGAGACGUAGAGCCACACACUAUCCCAGAUCCACUGCAUGGCCCAGGUCUGGGCCUUUCUGCACUGUGCUGGGGGUGGAGUACAUAAGCCCAGGUUCUUGGGGGGUGGGGUGGGAGCAGUUUUUUUCAAGUGAGCAGCUUGUCAAGAAUCACUGAGGGCAGAGACAGACAGGAAUCCACAUGCUUCUGGUUUUCCCUCUCUCUUGUGACUGUCCAUCCUCUUCUGGGCAGAGCGUCCCCAAAGAGCACUGUAGCCAUGGAGCUCUGUAGUCCCCCAGCUCUGGACUUAGAAGGUCUGCUGCCCUGUGCACCAGCAACAGGCCUUCCGUGUGCACUGGCACCAUACUGAGGCAGAGUCAGAUGCAGGAGCAACCUUGGACCCUGAAUCUGACCCACAAAGCUUUAGCUGCUGACCCCAGGUCAACAGCACCACAGGUGGGCAGCUCUGGAGAGGGGCUGGGGGCAGGGAGCGUCAGUGUGCAUGUCUCCACCAGUUUAUUUUUAGUUGUGUUAUGUAAGUGGCUUCAUCUCAACGUCACGUAGGAAGGGGGGUCUCAGAUUUAAUUGCAGGAUGACAGCCUUUGCAUCUCAAGCAAGCUGUUCCCCUGGCAAGGCAGCACAGUGAUUGGGAGUUUUUGCUCGACAGAAGGUCCUUUAUGAAGUGACCACCCAUCGAAGCCUUAACCUGUUUUCUUCUCCAUCUUCUGCUGACCUGCCCAGCCAGCUUCAGCUGAGCUUGGUCUGAGAGGGUAGUCCUUUGCGGAAAUCACAGGGGACUGGGAAGGGAUGCUGACUGGCUCGCUGGGGACACUGGCUCCUCAGCCUGAAGCUUCGUCUCUCUCCAAGGGAGGGGUCCACCCAGUCAGACUUACUACUCCCUUUUCUCACCCCUGGAUUGAGCACUUGUAAUCAGUAACCAGAAAGUUUGAGAGCAGUAGAGGCCAGAAGACACAGGAGCUGGUCUGCAUGUUUCCAGGACAGAGUCAGGAGGGUCCUCCUCUACAUCCUCCCCACCCUUGCUACCCAUUUCCUCCCUGCACAACAGGUCCCUUGACCAGGUCACUAGGCAGAACUGUGUGGGGAGCACUGUUUUCCUGGUUCCUGAACCCACAGGACAGUUGGCUGCCUUCUUCAGACCCGCCGACCAGCCACUUAAUCAGCAAGAACACACUGGGCUGGGUGGGGAGUUCUCUGCCAGCAGCAGGGCUGUCACAGCUGCCUCCAGCACAUUCAGCUUUGUCCAGCAUGCAGGGCAGGGCCCCAUUUCUGUGUUAGGCCAUUGCCUGCCAGGGCAAGAAGGACAGGGUCAGACAGGGUGUUGGCAGGCCUAGGGUGCAACACAGGGUCAAGGAGUCAGUUCCAGGAGCCAUUUCCUCUGCAUGGCAGGAUGGGGCUGCUGCAUAGCCCUGUUGGGAGGAGUCAGGCCAUGGAGGGGCAUGAAGAGUCCGGAGAACUGGACCUAGAGCUUAGUGAGCCCGCCGUGUGUUAGGGUUAGACAGGACAUGAGGAACACUCAAUUGUUGCCCAGAGAGUCGGGUCAGAGGCUAUCCUUUAAAAAGUGAGGGUGCCUCAGGGAGGUGGAGCCCAAUGGACUAGGAAUCCAAUGUCACUGUCACUGCCAGGUGACAAGGGCAGUACCAGCAAGAAGUCACGGUGACAGCAUGGACCCUUCAUGUGACAUGACAAAAAGGGCACAUUACCUAUUCCAUUUCUUCCCUAAACGCCAAGUGCCUGUCCAGUCUGAGAAAAACAGGUAAAUGCCAUCAGAGGGCAGGCUACAGAAUCCAUGACCACUGCCCUCAACUUGUCACCACUGUCAGAGACAAGGGAAGUCUGCAAAACUGCAGGCCCACAGCGGCUCCAGGAGACAGGAAAACUAAAGGUCAUGAGGGAUUCUGGACAAAAAGAAGACACAAGGUAAAAGAAAUCUGAAUAAGCUAUGGAUUUCAGUUAAGCCUAAUGGGUCAUUAUUGCAUGACAGUGAGGGAGACUUUACAGUAAGUGUGCAAAUAUAAAACUGGUGUGGGAUUAAGCCUGCUAAAAGGAGGCAGCAGUGUGGACACAAGCCCCCAGUUCGCCUGCACUCCACCCUGGAAGCUGCCAGACCCUGCAUCCCCUCUCUUUUACUGUGUGAUCAGAAGUUGGAGCAGUGGCCCCUGUGGUCCUGUACUGCUAGACAGACAGCACCCUGGGGGUAGCACUCUGCAAAGGGGUCCUGUCCAGGAGGUACAUGGGGCCUCAGGGUCUUGGCCUUGCAGCUCACAAGACCUCAGGUCACAGGGCACCAGCUGUGGUUCCAGCUGGUGACCCCUCCCUCCCACCCUCCAGGUGUAAGCUCCUCCCACCCUUCUUCCUGACCACAUUUUAGGUUUUCUGUCCAUGACCUGACUUGGUUCCAGGGCUUUUCUCCCUGACCACAACAUGGGCCACAUUUCUGGCCAUAGAUGGUGCAGAUCCAGCUCAGCACAUCCAGUGAUCUCUGGUGUUACCUCCUCUGGGAUGGAGACACAGAGUGCAACUGGGAGGAAAAUGCAGGGCAGGGCUGUCUCCAGGGAGAUUCCAUGCCUGGAAGGUAUGGGCAUGGCUUCCUGGGCUCUUUAGGGCCCUUUGUGCUUGGUCCAGUUUAGGCUCUUCUAGAGAGAUGGCCUGGAAAGUUCCGACCCAGGCUUGCUGCGGCCUCCACACAGGCCAGGCUGGGAGGGCAGAGGGCCUUUCUGCUGAGCGUGGAGGGGACGGAGCUGUGGCCUCCUACUGGAGUCUGCCCUGCUGCCCUGGUGGGGGGGUGUUGCUUGAAGAGGUUCCCCAGCAACCAGCCCCCUUAUAUAACCUGCACAUCGCAUCGGCGUGACUCCAGGUGCCGUGGGAGGCAGCGUGGGGGUGAGCACAGGGGCUUGAACGAGCCUCGAGCUUCCUAGGGUGCUGCUGCUCCUCUUGUUGCAUCCCAGCGUCAUCCUGCGUCUGCCAGCUCGGUCACCCACUUACCUAUCAGAAUGCAUUAAGUGACAAUGCAGACUUAAAUAACUCCCGCAGGUGAUAGGCCUGCCAUGGAGCCCUCUACAGCCAGGCCCUCCUGUGCCUGCCAAGGUGAGGCAGGGAGGGCGAGGUCCAGAGGAAGGACAGGCCGUGCCUGAGGAACAGCACUGGCUGCUUUGGCCACGAGGGUAGAGCCAGGCCAGGCGUUGGGAGGAGUGCAUGGCAGGGUUAGGUCUCGGCCCAGGCUUUGGGACCACAGCCAGGUUUGGAAUGAAGGUGGGUGCCCUGGUGCCGUCUGGAUGGGAAGUUUACCCCUGUGCAGAGCACCUGAGACUCUGCAGCCAGCUCAUGCUGGCUUUGCCCAGUGACUGGGUGGGCAGGAAAACUGAACAGGGUCAGCGCCUCUGUGACUGAGCACGCUGAGAGGAUAGCAGCUGCCCAGCAUGGGGUGUGCUGGCUGUGCGCACCUGCUUCUCACAGGGCCCUCAGGAUUGGGUGGUCACUCAGCCCCCGGGCAAAGAUGAGAGAGGAACUUGGCUUCACACCCCCUGUAUUCCUUCAUUUGUCCCCUGAGACAGAUGCCAUCUGAUUGCUCUGCCUCCCAAAUGACUUGCAGUGCUUCAAAAGUGGUUGAAGAUAUUUCUGGGUGGGGAAAGGGAUUCUGCUCUUCAGAAUCUGGAGUUGGAGGACACCCUGGGAGAAGUCCUGAGCGGGUCCCCAUGGGUCCUUCCACACUGGAGACAGCAGAGCUGUACCUGCCAUCGCCAGCUUUUCCUGCCGGGGUGAGGAGCCCAGACAUUUCCAUGCUGCUUUACAGUCACAGAUGGCUUCCCUGCCCAGGGCUGGCUGCUUCUAAUUUCGGCUGCCGGAGGCUCCUUGCUCGCUCACUCGCUCUCUUUUUUUAAUUCCAUGUUUAUUUAAAGCCAGAUUUUGAAAUGUUGUCUUCAACCCUAAAAUCUGACUUUUUCUUCUUGCAACAGAUCCUAAAACCCCCUUAGUACCCAAAGGGUGGGGGAACUUUUGAAGACAGAUCCAACUGCCCCCUUGUACCACACUGUGAGUAAACAUUUGGACGGUCGACUGGUGUCCCCUUAGAGCAGUUCAGUAGAGUCAACACAGAGCACAGGAUGUCCCCUGUAUAUGGCCUGUGUUUACAGAUAAACGAGGAGAGAUGGUGUGGGUAACUCCAGUGAAGUGCAAGAAGCACCCCAUGCCUACUGCUGGCUGUCUGGUCUGUCCUGUCAUUUCCUGUCACAGUCAUUGUGCAGUAGGGCCAGGCACGGCCCAGGCAUGUCACUCCUGGAGGUAGGACAGGGACGAGAUGGGCAGUUCCCGCUGGAGGGGUAGCACCGGUGCUCAGGUGGGCUGUGAGUCUCCCAUCUCCCUCUUCCCAGCAGUUGAUGCUUUCUUCACCCAACCUGAAAGCCACACAGUUUCUUCUUGCUCCCUGAGAAAGCUCAUCCAGAAGAGGUCUUCCAGAUUAGAAUAGGGAGUAGGACAUGUGUCCACUCACGUAUGGACAACACACUGGACUGCUCCAACAGGAACACACUGGACAGCAGCUCAGCCUUUAUUUGUUCAGUGUCAAACACGGCAGUGGGAUUCUUCCCCUGGUUGUGGGACCCUAAAGACUCAGCCCAUGGGUGCAGGUGUUCUGGAAACACGAGGGUCUCUUGCCUUUGACACACUACAGUGCUGCCCUUCUGCAGCUUAUGCUAGAAUGUACUUGAAGGGCCUUGAAGAAAGGGGGACCAUUUUGGGGGGGCUACAGAGCAGAGACAACACCAGCUCCCAGGAGUGUGAGUGGGGUGGGCACCAGCAGGAGGAAGGAGUGUAUUUACCUGGCCAGAUGCUCCUGAGGAAACAGGCUGGAGGCUCAUGUGCUUAAAGUGGGGCCCCAGCGCAGCAGACUGGGCCACAGGGCUGCCCUCGGGACUGGAGCUAGUGUGCUAAGGGUGUGCAGGCAGGCACAGCUGGGACAGCUGCCCAAGGGCUGCUGGGGACACUGGCCAAGUCCCUGCAUGGAUGCUCUGCCAAUCUCCAUCCAAACUAAUGCUGGAGCUAUGGGGGCCCAGAGAGGGGUAGGUGCCAUUUCUAGUGAGGGUCCAGCAGUUUCCCGAGGCUGUGGAUUCCUGCCAGGGCCUCUAUACCCUGAGAAGUGCAGAGAGCUGGGAUGGUGUCCCUGGCAUGUCUGGUCAGAAACAGUAAGAUUUUGAGAAAAAGAGUGUGAGUGUUAAGCUUGAGAAUGUCACUUCCCAGCAGGCUCCUCCUCCUCCUCACAAAGCUGGAAGAGAGAUCUUUUUAGAGGUUCAUGGAAAACUUUAGCUGUUCCCUAGCUGUCCAGAUGAAAAGCAUAUUCCACCCCAGGGGGAAAACAGCACCUCUGAAUGAAUUCGGACAACAUUUUACCCUCAAGUUACGGGAGGUCCACUUGGUGUGACCUUUGCAAACGUCUCUCUGCUGCCAGCUGAAAGAAGAAUACUGCAAGGUUUGGCAGCUCGCCCCUGGAGUCUGCUGUUAGUUCUCACCCAGAUUUGGAGAUUUUUCCUUGUGGCUGCAGGAGCCAACAGAGUCCUUUGUGCCUCAGGACUCAGAGCACCAGAGCCCUGUUGUAAUUUCCCUUCCUUCUUUGGUUCCUAGAGUUCCCACAGGAAAACCCUGUGCUCUCGAUUCUGCAUCAGGAACAUAGAAGCCAAGGCUGCGGCAGGGACACAAGCUUGCUACUACAGGGCCUUAGUGCCACCUUCAAGGGAAGUGUUUCCUUGUGGUUGGGGCAGGUCUGGUUCUCUGAGUGGCUGUUGUCCCAGGAGGAGAGCCCGAGGGUGCUUGUGCUGGAAGGGACCCACCCUGGGGCUUCCAGCCUAGGUGUGGGACCCAGCAUCAGUGCAUUUGGGUUUUAGAAUAGGCUUUGCUUGGUGGGAGACGCAGCUUUAGCCUCAUGGCCCCUCACCUGGCAUCAGUCCUGCCACUCUGCCCGCCCCUGGCCCUGACUGGGAGGGGUGGUGAGCUUAACACUACACUGCCACCUGGUGGACAGCCAGAAAAAGGCGCUGUGGGGUACCAGCCCCAGAGGGACAGGUGCUACGGCCAGUGGUUAGCAGGGACAAAGUGGGAGGCCACAGACUUGUGUGGCCAAGUGCAGGUGCAGAGCAGGUGUACUUGGUUUGUAGGACCAGGCUGGAAUCUGGACUCUGCUUCUGGAAAGUGCACCCUUCAAGCUGGCCAUUUCAGAAGGGAAGAGUAACACAUUCCCCUAGGGCCCAAGAGGAGACAGUGUGAGUUACGGUUCUGCCACGGAGCAGUGGAGUGAUUAGCCUGGACCUGCAAAAAGAAUGUCUGGGGAUGGCCUGUGAGCUUACCCUGCAGAAGUCUCCUGUUCACGUUUCCAAAGGGCCCCGGCCCUGUGACAACUUUUCUUUUAAAUGGAGCAAAACAUCACCAGCAAGAAGUUAGCAGUUCCAUCCAGUCUCGUGGCACUUAGCGCACUCAUGGUGAGGGAUGGCCGCCAGCUCGAUCUGGUCCUCAUCAUUUCCAUCAACCUGGAGGAGCCCCACAGCAUGAGCGGUCGUAUCCCAGCCCAGCCCAGCCUAGCCCGGCCACCGCCUAUCUGAGAAGUUGCCUGUCUAGAUGUUUUGUCUACAAGGCCACAUGGCACUACCUGCAAUGUCCGGCUUCUCACUGGGCAGCACAGUGAGGGUCCCCUGAGCCUUCACCCUGUAUGCUAAGUGAUGUUAAAACUGCAUGUGCUUGUGACAGUGUGAUCUUCACGUGCCAGCUGGUGGGUUUGGGGUAGACAUCUGGAUUUGGAACUGCUGGUUCACAUGAUGACCACCUCCAGCUUUUUCAAGACUUGGAGAAACGAUCUUGUGCAGUGGCCACACCACUUAACGUUCCCUCCAGCAGUGGACGAGGCUUCCGGUGUCUCCACAUCCUUACUAAUACUUAAUUUCCCUUUUUGUUUAUUUAUUUUGUCUCAAUUCUAGCUCUCAUAGUGGGUGUGAAGUGGAAUCUGUGGUUUUGAGUCAAAUGUCCCUGAUGACACACCUGAGCAUCCUCCCUGGUGGGUCCUGUCUUCUUAAAGGAGGAAGACUCCUCCCUAGAAUUCCAGUGUCUUCAUUCCAGUGCUCACUUUGGGAAGGGCCUGGAAGAUGCCUCAGUGGCCACCCAGCUCACACCUGGCCUGCUUUUGAGGGGCUUGGACCCAAACUCAGCUCCCCCACUGAGCUGCAUCUCUUGCCCGAGCAGCGUUUCAGAAACCCUGGGGGCAGUCAGGACUGUCCCUGAGUGAUUCCUGCCUGCCUUGAAGCCCACGCCGUGCUGGGGCAUCUGAAGGGGGUGGUGUGGACUGUGCUGUGAGCCCCGUGGGGCCUAGAUGGCCCCCCAGCUGCAUCACCGCCUGGUGCUCUUGGUAAGGAAGCAUGACACAUGCCUGCCAACACAGACAUAGGAACAAAUGAGCAAAAGUCCCCCCUGCUACCUGCAGAGACGGCGUGGAAGCCCAGGCCAGUGUGGCUCUGGCAGGCAGACAGGGCUGAGGUUGUCACAGCCAGGAGCCAGGGAGCCAGGCCACUGCCUGCCCAGGAUGGUGGGGCUGGCCCUGCAUCAGCCUCUCAAUACUGGAAGGGAAGCAGAGGUCCAGAGCUGGGAGGGGCGUUUCCAAGGUUGCAGGUGAUGGGGUGGAGGGCAGAGCUCUGUUGGCACCACUGGUCCCUUCCUGGCACGCAGCAACCAUGCGCACCGGCCUGGCAGAGUAGGAAUUGUCGAAAAGGCAGGGGUUACUGGGUUCUUGGGAAGGCUGAAGUGCUGCCUGAGAGUGACGGGAAGAGCUGUGUGGCUGGUCCUGGCCAGAGGACCAGCCUCCUCUUUCAGAUGGGGUCCAGUGUGGCUCCCCAGCACAGCCAUUGCUGACCCUGCUGUUGCUGCUGUCACCACACCACACCACACUGCCUCCUCUACCUGCGACCAAGGCCCAGCAGCAGCAGAGGAACGGGCAAGGGUGCUCUUUGGCCCUGCUGCCUCCUCUGCAGCUUCCCCCAUCAAGCCCAGGCUGAGGAGUCUCCCAUGGCAAGGGUGCUCUGACCACUGUGCUGCCCUGCUGAGCCCCUGACUGCUCCCUGACCUGCCACAUUUCCAGGUCUCCAGGAGCAGGCUAGGAAGGGAUGUGAGGCAGGUGUUUUUGAAGUGUCAGAACUCCUGUGGCCACGUUCCCCUCUCUGUUAGCUCUGUGCUCACGUCUCACCUGCUCCGCCCAGAGACAUCGGCCCCAUGGAGAGUCCUAGAGCCAGCUAAUGCUCAGGACAAGUGCCGGAAGGCACCCACGAGAGCCAGGACAGCAUUCCCAGCUCUAAGGCAUUCAUUUCCUUAAAAACUGAUAAUGCUGAACUAUCUUAAGUGAAAAGCUAAGCCCAGACCUGCCACCUUUCCAGGUCCCCAGGAGCAGGCUGGGUCCCUCCAGGGACCCAGAGGGCAUGUAUGGCUGGAGAUGCAGCUCAGUGGGGGAGCUGAGGUUUGGGUCCGAGCCCCUCAAAAGCAGGCAGGGUGUGAGCUGGGUGGCCACUGAGGUAUCUUCCAGGCCCUUCCCAAAGUGAGCACUGGAAUGAAGACACUGGAAUUCUAGGGAGGAUUCUUCCUCCUUUAAGAAGACAGGACCCACCAGGGAGGAUGCUCAGGUGUGUCAUCAGGGACAUUUGACUCAAAACCACAGACUCCACUUCACACCCACUAGGAGUGCACCCAGAGUGCACUGUACAUUCUUGGUGCUGAGCCAAGGCUACUCAACCGCUCCUCAGGCUGUUUGGUGACCCCACUUUCAUGCCAGGAAACUGAGGCUUAAGGGGAGAACAGCCUGAGGGGACAUGGUGCAGCAAUGCAGAUACCAGGAGGUGGUUCUGGGGCUGGCUCUUCCCUGUCCCUCCAGGGACCCAGAUCAUGGGGCUGGGUUGGGGGUCUAUGGGUGCAGCCUCACCCUGACUCCCCUGGGUCGACCAGGGUGCCUUUCACCUCUGCACUUCCUGCCCUGCCCUCUCAGCUGAGCCCCGGCUAUGGCUCCGUCUGCCCCCCAGACAGUUCCCAGCCAGACCUCUUCCAGUUCUCCACUCAGGUUACUGCCCUGCUGCAUUGCCAGCUAAUGAGCUCGGGACCUGGGGGCCCUCCUCCUGUUUCCUCUUCCUUCACCUUCCUCCGCUAACCUCUAGCCCAGAACAUCUACCCACCGUCUUGCCAGCUUCGAUCCCCUAAAUCUCCAAUCUGUCCAACUCUUGCUGUAUCUGCCACCCUGGAAUAAGGAAGUGAUCUCGUACCUGAUUUCCUGAUUCCCCUGGCUCAUCCUUACCAGCCUCCGUGCCAGUGAGUUGAUGUUUUUUUUCCCCCCGGGGUAAUGGGGCUUGAAUUCAGGGACACUCCACCACACCACUGAGCCACACCCCAGCCCUAUUUUGUAUUAUAUUUCGAGACAGGGUCUCACUGAGUUGCUUCAUGCCUUGCUUUUGCUAAACUGCAAUCCUCCUGCUUCAGCCUCCCAAACUGCUGGGUUUGCAGGUGUGCAACCCUGUGCCUGGCUCACCAGGGAGGUUUCAAAGUACAACUCUGACCCCAUGGCUCCUGCUGCAGCCCUGCAGUGGCCAUCAUGGCUCCAAGGACAAAGACCUGCAUUCUCACACAGCCAGCACAGCUCCUGCCUCCCCUUCCCCAGGGCUGUGCGGGAUACCUUGACACCUUGUCAAUCCAAAUAAUAAUCAGAGAUUCUCCAAAGAACCACCAUGCUUCCUCGGGAAGAGCAGGGCUCCACAAUGGGAACACACUGCCAUCGCAAGCCACGGUGUCCUGGAAGAGACAGUGGCAAGGCCUUAUUUUUUUCUCUCUUUUUUUAAAUAGAUGUGCUCUUCAAUCCAUAAGCUCCAUUACAUCAAUAGAACAAAGUGGGCUUAGCAUUUCACUUAAGGUAGUUCAGCAUUGUCAGUUUUUAAGGAAACGAAUGUCUUAGAAGCAAAUCAGUCUGCCUUAACAAAUUACAUUCAUGCUGAUGAAGAUUUAAUCUUCUUUGAGGGUUAUGGCCAAAAUUCAAACUGCAGGACAGUGUUCAGAAAACUUGAAGUGUGAAGUGUUGAGUUCAGUUUAGAUCAGUGUCUUCAUCAUCGUCUCCAAUGUUAUCAAGUGAGUUCCGUCCUCAUCUCCAGGACCAAAUGCAUGUUCCACUGACUCCAGCUCCGGGCUCGCGAGCCCUCAGCCGUCCAGCUUCAAACUGCCAUCAGUGUCGUUGUCCUGGUGGUCUUGGAAACCAACCCAUGGGUCUGGGGUAUUUCUUCAAACUUUUCCUCAGUUUCCCUCUGAUGUCAUUUAAUCUCCGUAUGCCAUAGACGUCCAUUUCCCAGCCUGGAUGCCCUGGGCAUGAGGUGCCAGCCUCGACGAACAGCAGCUGUUUUCAAACUCGUCCUCAUUCUUACCUCUGCUUUGUUUUUCCUCCUUUACCUCUGCUCCUGGGCAUGGCAGUGAAGGUGGCCUUGUGUUGUCUCCAACUUCUUUCCAAGGGGGCACAGUGGAGGAGGCAGAGCCUGCUGGGUGACACUGAAGAGCACAUGGGACAAAGCAGGCUCGCAGAGGCUGAGUGGCCUUCGCAGACAGUCUCAAGGCUGGGUUCUUUCUCCAGGGGCCCCAGGGCCUCCCAGCACUGUUAGGCAUUACAUGGCUUCUGGCCACUUUUGGUCACAACAGCAGCUUCACCUCCUAAGUGCUUGUGAGCAGGAUAGUUGCGACUUGGCCUGUCAGCCAGAAUGAACUGCUCUCUCCCUGCCGGUGCUCGGAUCUGCACGGCAGGAAGCUCAGGGUUUGCAGAGAUUCUUAAAUGUCUGUGCUGUGCAGAUUCAGAUUCUUUGAUGAGAUUCUCUACCAUUAAUCUACUUUCUCCACUGUUUCCUCUAUUUGAACAAAACACGAUGAUCAAAGGGAUUUCCCAGCUCUUGUCUGCCACCUCUGGUCUGUCCCCAUCCUGCCUUCUCUCCUGGGUUCCUGCACUGUGGUCCCUGAAUGCUGGGUGUCAGAACUGCAGAUGGAGGGUCAGCCGCAGGCCGGCAGCCUGCCCUGGAAGCGGAGCUUCACUGUCCACACGCUGGCCAUGCUGCUCUUGCCCCACAACAGCAGAGUUCAGUGGACAGAGGCCACUACUGCUAAAAUCCUUAUUCUCUGGCUCCUAAGGGACAGCGUGGCAAGCCCGACCUCAGUGGCACUAAGUGGGGGGCUGGCUCGCCAUCUGCUGUGUUGGCUCCUGUUUCCAGGGCCCAGUCCUGAGGACAGUAAGCCACAUGCUUGCUGGGAACACGGGAGCCCUCCCUCCUCAGCACUGAGACCAGCACGACUCGGCUUUCACUGAGCUCUUGAACACCCUCUCUGCCUCCCAACUUGUCAAGACUUGGAGGGAAGGCCAGCCCUCAGGUCUACGCUCUCUCAUGAUCAGACGCCCCUUGAUCUCUGGUUGGUCAUUAAACCAGCAUGAACAGAAACUUGGCAAACGCUGGCUGCAGAUGGCCGGCUCUUCUCUCCGUGGGCUUCCCUCUUUGAAUCAUAACCCUGUCAGUCUUUAUUGCUUCUGCAGCUUUCUGAUGCCUUUGGAGAAAUGCCUUCUGUAUCCAUGUCUGGAUUUUCUAGUUUUUUUUUUUUUAAUUUUUUUUUUUUGUGUGUGUGUGUGUGUAGUUGUAGAAAGGCAGCAUGCCCUUGUUUUAUUUAUUUUUGUAUGUGGUGCCGAGGAUCAAACCCAGUGCCUUACACAUGCUUGGCAAGUGCUCCACCACUCAGCCCUAGCCCCAGCCCCAGCCCCAGCCCUGCUUUUCUAGUUCUUAGUGAGAGACUCCAUCCACCAUAAACCACUCCAUCCUACCUGGACUUGAACAACUGCUACUCAUGUUUAAAAUUUUGAUUUCAGAUUCCAAUUGUUCAUUGCUAACAAACAAAUAUGUAUUGAAUUUUGUACAUUAACCUAGUAAUCUGUGACUUUGCUGAACUUGAUUAAAUGAAUUCGUUCUAAUAGA
Marmota monax (woodchuck) is the source of this 13514-nucleotide long non-coding RNA. RefSeq lists it as uncharacterized. The transcript has 2 exons. NCBI's taxonomy places the organism in Eukaryota, Metazoa, Chordata, Mammalia, Rodentia, Sciuridae. The record is from RefSeq and is a predicted model, not a curated record.